UAGGGAAUCUUCCACAAUGGGCGCAAGCCUGAUGGAGCAACACCGCGUGAGUGAAGAAGGGUUUCGGCUCGUAAAGCUCUGUUGUUGGAGAAGAACGUGCGUGAGAGUAACUGUUCACGCAGUGACGGUAUCCAACCAGAAAGUCACGGCUAACUACGUGCCAC
RNAcentral lists this ribosomal RNA (164 nucleotides) under uncultured bacterium. RNAcentral's name for it is "partial 16S rRNA". It matches the Rfam family "Bacterial small subunit ribosomal RNA", at positions 355 to 511 of the family's 1533-position model. The record is from RNAcentral.